Molecule: ribosomal RNA, 253 nt
Filed under: uncultured bacterium
Lineage: Bacteria
Description: partial 16S ribosomal RNA
Rfam family: Bacterial small subunit ribosomal RNA
Source: RNAcentral
UACGUAGGGUGCGAGCGUUAAUCGGAAUUACUGGGCGUAAAGCGUGCGCAGGCGGCUUUGCAAGACAGAUGUGAAAUCCCCGGUCUCAACCUGGGAACUGCAUUUGUGACUGCAAGGCUAGAGUACGGCAGAGGGGGAUGGAAUUCCGCGUGUAGCAGUGAAAUGCGUAGAUAUGCGGAGGAACACCAAUGGCGAAGGCAAUCCCCUGGGCCUGUACUGACGCUCAUGCACGAAAGCGUGGGGAGCAAACAGG